GACGAACGCUGGCGGCGUGCCUAAUACAUGCAAGUUGAGCGAUGAAGAUUGGUGCUUGCACCAAUUUGAAGAGCAGCGAACGGGUGAGUAACGCGUGGGGAAUCUGCCUUUGAGCGGGGGACAACAUCUGGAAACGAAUGCUAAUACCGCAUAACAACUUUAAACAUAAGUUUUAAGUUUGAAAGAUGCAAUUGCAUCACUCAAAGAUGAUCCCGCGUUGUAUUAGCUAGUUGGUGAGGUAAAGGCUCACCAAGGCGAUGAUACAUAGCCGACCUGAGAGGGUGAUCGGCCACAUUGGGACUGAGACACGGCCCAAACUCCUACGGGAGGCAGCAGUAGGGAAUCUUCGGCAAUAGACGAAAGUCUGACCGAGCAACGCCGCGUGAGUGAAGAAGGUUUUCGGAUCGUAAAACUCUGUUGGUAGAGAAGAACGUUGGUGAGAGUGGAAAGCUCAUCAAGUGACGGUAACUACCCAGAAAGGGACGGCUAACUACGUG
Molecule: ribosomal RNA, 497 nt
Filed under: uncultured bacterium
Lineage: Bacteria
Description: partial 16S ribosomal RNA
Rfam family: Bacterial small subunit ribosomal RNA
Source: RNAcentral